GAGUGGAUGAAAACUAUUUAGGGGGUUGUUACAGUAGUCCAGGCAAGAGAUGGUGAGGCCAGGUGGCUGGAAUGCUUUAACCUCCUUCUUCAAUCUGAGUUAAAGACUAAGACGUGGAAUAUAAGAAAGCAUGAAGAAGCUUCCAGAAUGGGAUAACUUCUGUGAAAAGCAGGAUCCUGUUGGAAUGGUCACCAACACAUCUGAAGGUAGAGAUUCAGAGGACAGCCCUCCAAAUAAAGAGUCUUGUGCUUGUUUAAUGAAACAUCAAAGAAGCACCUGGAGAGACCACAGGAUCAUGAAAACGCACGUGAGCAGUGUUCCUGCUGGCUCAGAAGGUGUGUGAUGGCACCAGACAGACUCUGACUCCCUGCCACCAGAAACAGAGUAAAUUCAUCUCUACCCUGCGCACGGAGAAGCUGUUCCUCCUCGUAGGAGUUCACAGUGAGCCUCCGAGCAGUGGGGAUAGCACCCCGUGGCAAUCAGUGUCGACGGGUCUGGAGCAGGCCUUACACCGCUGAGAUGGCUUCUCUUCCUUUCGUCUCUAAACUGCUUCUCCCCCCAGAUUUCUUUUUGCUCUUAUCCUUUGGCAAAAAGUGUGCAUCUACCCUUCGUAGCAAACUGAGCAGAUUCCACUGUAUGUUCUUCAGGGGCAAAUUAGGACUCAGAGCUCCACAUUCUCCAGAAGCGAUAAAGGCCAUGUCACUUAAUCCCUUUGCUGGGUCUUGACCAGCCUUGGGAGGGCAGCUUCAAAGACCGAAGUGGUGCAGAGCCCUGGCCCGACUGGAUCCCGUCCCCUUAUGUUUCCAUGCUUCCCCGCUUUUGAUGAUGCUACUGCGCUGGGAGCAGGAACUGAAGGCGGGUGCUCUGACACUCAGAGACACAUCUCUCAACACAAGAAGUAGGAGAAAGGGUUCAAUCGUCUUAGCAGGAACUGGAGAUGUGUGCACAAGAUGCACUGCUCAGCGUGUCUGGGAGCCCCAGAGCUGCCGCAAGAGGAUAGGCAGCCCACGGAUGGAGAAAUGAUUUUAAGGAGAAGAGACCGUGGGCCUGUAAAUGCAAGUAGCUGCCAUUUAUGGAGCAUUCGUCUGCUCUUUGAAUUCCCGCGAGAACCAGCGCCCACGCACGGUGCAACAGAAGUGAGAGGGACUCUUCUGCAAAGCUGUGCUUUUGAAAUCGCUCUUUCAGCAGUCAUUCCAUAUUGCCGUGCUGGGUCUGGAGAGGCAGAACCAUAUUAGAAUUCCACGAAAAACCUUUCGGAUAGAAUUCAGGAGUAGCGGUGGAGUUUGGUUGGACAAAUGACUUUCCUGUCCUCUGCGUCCUCAUCCAUGCCUAGAGGGGAAUGAUGGCCUAAUGCUGGCAGAGGAUUCCAUAGUUUCUUAACUCAUCCUGCUAACACAGUCUAGCACCUUCCAAGGAGUACAGGAUGUGGAGAUAUUUAACAACUAUUGUACUUGUUCUCAGAUUUGGGGGCCUCAGCUGAAACUCUGAAUCAACAGGAAAAGUCACAUCUUAACAUAGUAUUAUGUAUAUGUCAUAGGCUCUUACUAGUAGUUCUUCGGUGUAUUAUGAUUUAAAUCAUGUUCCUUGACAAAAUAAAUUUGGAAAACACUGCUCUAUUGUUUUGCUUUUAAGUAUGAUGUAAGCUAUUGGUUUGGGAUAACUUUUUAAUCUUGUUAAGGGAGUAUUCUAUAUGCAAUUUAUUUAACUUUUUAUCAGAAAUGGAUAUUAAAUUUUGUUAAAUGCCUUUGACAUUUGUCAAGAUGAACAUAAAGUUUGUCUCUUUUGACCCAUUGAUGUGAUCAAUGAUAUUUUUAGAUUUCCCAAUAUUGAAU
RNAcentral lists this long non-coding RNA (1832 nucleotides) under Equus caballus (horse). RNAcentral's name for it is "lncRNA (ENSECAG00000036657.3)". Lineage: Eukaryota; Metazoa; Chordata; Mammalia; Perissodactyla; Equidae. The record is from RNAcentral.